CAAAGGUAGCAUAAUCAAUAGGUUUUUAAAUGAAAUCUUGAAUGAAUGAUUGAACAAAAGAAAUACUGUCUUUGUAUUAAAAUUUGAAUUUAACUUUUAAGUGAAAAGGCUUAAAUGUUCUAAAGGGACGAUAAGACCCUAUAAAACUUUACAUCAAUAUUAAAUUUUAUUUAAUUUAAAUUAUAACAAUUAAAUUUAAGAGGUUGUUUUGUUGGGGAGACAAAAGCUAUAAUUAUAUAUUAACUGCUUAUGAAGUACACAAUAAUAAAUGAAUGAAAUUAUUUAUAGAUCCUUAAUAAAGAUUUAAAGAUUAAGUUACUUUUUGGAUGGCAGCGUUAUUUUUUUUUUGAGUCCUUAUCAAAAAAAAGAUUGCGACCUCCAUGUUGAAUUAAAANAUCUUUUUUGUGCAGGAGCUAUAAAAGAAGGGGGGGGGGACCUUUUAUUUUUUACAUGAU
Molecule: ribosomal RNA, 455 nt
Filed under: Potamonautes sp. Monks1
Lineage: Eukaryota; Metazoa; Arthropoda; Malacostraca; Decapoda; Potamonautidae
Description: partial 16S ribosomal RNA
Source: RNAcentral